GAUGAAGAACGUAGCGAAAUGCGAUACGUAAUGUGAAUUGCAGAAUUCAGUGAAUCAUCGAAUCUUUGAACGCAUAUUGCACUCUCUGGUAUUCCGGAGAGCAUGCUUGUUUGAGUAUCAGUAAACACCUCAACUUCCAUAUCUUUUUUGAAAUGGGAGUUGGACUUGAGUGAUCCCAACGCUUUUCCUCACCGAAAAGUGGCGGGUUACUUGAAAUGCAGGUGCAGCUGGACUUUUCUCUGAGCUAUAAGCAUAUCUAUUUAGUCUGCCUAAAAAACAGAUUAUUACCUUUGCUGCAGCUAACAUAAAGGAGAUUAGUUCUUGUGCUGACUGAUGCAGGAUUCACAAAGACAGGCUUCGGCCGACUUUGUAAACUCGAUCUCAAAUCAAGUAAGACUACCCGCUGAACUUAAGCAUAUCAAUAAGCGGAGGA
RNAcentral lists this unclassified non-coding RNA (433 nucleotides) under soil metagenome. Its description in RNAcentral is "partial contains 5.8S ribosomal RNA, internal transcribed spacer 2, and large subunit ribosomal RNA". The stretch from base 1 to 120 matches the Rfam family "5.8S ribosomal RNA", at positions 35 to 154 of the family's 154-position model. The record is from RNAcentral.